GCAGAAGGGACAUAAUUGCAGAGGCCUUAAAGCAGGAACAAGCUGGUAUCCAGUCUCAGCCCUUCUUAUUCAUCCUACAGCUGCUGCUUCUGGAAGAACUAUAGAAGCUGGUGUGGCUAGAAUGUAGUUAGGGAAGGGAAGAUUCCAGGUGAGAACUGGGAGACAAAGGAACAGACAGCAGGGCCUUGUAGGCCAUGGGACACAUAUAUUAUUCUAGAUACAAUGGAAUUUCAUUCAAGGAUUUUUUAAAUAAGGGAGUGACGAGAUCUGAUUUUUCAUUUAGAAAAGAUUAUGCCAACUCUUUGUGAAGAUUGGAUUGUAGGGAGGCAAGGGAGGAAGUAAUGAGACUCUUUAAGAAACCAUCGCAUAGUUUAGGAAAGAAAAGGUAGUGGUUUUGGACCACUUUGGGUGGUAUGGAAGAUUGGAAGGGACACAUUAGAGAUAGAUUUUCAAGGUAACAGACAGGGCAUGGAUCCAUUGGAUGUUGGAGUCAAGUGUAGAAGGAAAGAGAGUGAUCAGGGAUGACUAGUUGGUUUGAGGUUUGAGCAUCUGAAUGCAUGGCCCAACUAUAUACUGAGAUGGAAAAUCUCUAGGAGUAACAGGAUUUUGCUUUGGCAGGUGGAAUCAGUAAUUUAUUGUAGGCCAUGUUUGAGAUGCCAGUUUGUCAUCUAAGUGGAGAUUUGGAGUAGAUAGAUGAGAGUCUGCAGCUCAGGGAAGAGGUCUCAUUGAACAUAUAAAGGUAGGAGUGUAGAAUAUGGACCAUAUUUAAAGCCAUGAUACUGAAUGAACUUGCUUUGGGAGAGAGUAUAGAUGGAGAGGAAGUCCUGGGACUGAGUCAUGAGUGCGCCAUCAUUUAAUGGUCCAGCGAAGGAAGAAGAGAGAACAAGAAAAGACUGAGAAGAAGCUACGGUAGUUGGAAAAAGCAACAACAAAAAACAGGAAAAUGAGGUCUAGGGAAGAAAGUCAUGGGAGCCCAGGGAGAAAAGCAUUUCAAAAUGGAGAAAGAAGCCUCUGUGGGAUUUGGCAUUAUGGAGGUUAUCAACAAAAGCAGCAAGGAUUGGAGCAGGUUGAAAUAUGAAUACAUGGUGGGAAAGUGGAGACCCUACUUUAGUCAACACUGUUGAAGUUUUGCUGUGAAGGGAAUGGAGCAUUACAACCAAAUAGAUAUCCAUUGACCAACAGAGGAUUCCCUACACAGCACAACAGAAUGCGUAAGAGAUCCAUGCAGCUAUACAUCUGAGAUGGGUGAACUGGACCCCUGGGAAGCAGUGAAAGUAAGGGAGCAGCCCCCUCCACAUCCCCUGGCAGCAGCGAUCUGGGGCACAGAUCCUCACACAGCAGCCUGAGCAACUGAGUGAGGGCAAGAGCAGCCUGGCCCUGUGCAUGUAUGCAAAUAC
This 1397-nucleotide long non-coding RNA is filed under the name Equus caballus (horse). RNAcentral describes it as "lncRNA (ENSECAG00000059228.1)". Lineage: Eukaryota; Metazoa; Chordata; Mammalia; Perissodactyla; Equidae. The record is from RNAcentral.